UCCUAGCAAAAUUCUUGCUUGAGAAACUGCUCUUUGCUAAGAAGCUAUUUUUGCUUCUUUUUUUUCCAUUUUAACUGAAAACAAUCACAGUAAGGAUCAUCUGGGACCUUCUGUACCACCAGUGUGGCUUCCCUGGAUUUAGGAUGCCUCCUGCGGUGGGAUUGUCCUCAGGCCAACGCUAACACCACCACCUACACUGUCCAAACUAAGACUCAGGGAGAUCCAUGGCAGGACGUGGAGGGGUGUGUGCGGAUCUCCGCCCAGCACUGUGACGUGUCCCAGGCCUUCUCUGAUUUUGAACUCUACAACAUGAUCCGCCUGGGCCUCCACCAGGGCCCUGGGAGCCCAGUCUGGACAAAACCACCCUUCAACCGCCCCUCCGUCUCUGUGACUCUGUCUAGAGAGAGGCUGGUAGUGGAGGUGCACUUCCCCUGUUCUACCAACAGAGGGUGCUUUCCUCUGCAGAGCUGCUGUCCACUGUCAGAACUGAUUGACCCCUGGGUCACAGUGACCGUAUAUAACCAACAGAACCACUCUGACUACAAGAGGCGUACUGGUUGGGCCCAGGAGGUGGUGUACAGGGCUGAGUUCUCAGACCUGGUCUCAGGACAGGACUACUGUGCCUUGGCUAACUUCUCCUUUGGACCCCCCACCUUCCCCCUGGCCUCCUCUCCCCCCUCCCAC
This 684-nucleotide long non-coding RNA is filed under the name Salmo salar (Atlantic salmon). RNAcentral describes it as "lncRNA (ENSSSAG00000092685.1)". Lineage: Eukaryota; Metazoa; Chordata; Actinopteri; Salmoniformes; Salmonidae. The record is from RNAcentral.